RNAcentral lists this ribosomal RNA (432 nucleotides) under uncultured bacterium. RNAcentral's name for it is "partial 16S ribosomal RNA". It matches the Rfam family "Bacterial small subunit ribosomal RNA", at positions 29 to 506 of the family's 1533-position model. The record is from RNAcentral.
AACGAACGCUGGCGGCAUGCCUAACACAUGCAAGUCGAACGAGACCUUCGGGUCUAGUGGCGCACGGGUGCGUAACGCGUGGGAACCUGCCCUUAGGUUCGGAAUAACUCCCCGAAAGGGGUGCUAAUACCGGAUAAUGUCUUCGGACCAAAGAUUUAUCGCCUUUGGAUGGGCCCGCGUUGGAUUAGCUAGUUGGUAGGGUAAAAGCCUACCAAGGCGACGAUCCAUAGCUGGUCUGAGAGGAUGAUCAGCCACACUGGGACUGAGACACGGCCCAGACUCCUGCGGGAGGCAGCAGUGGGGAAUAUUGGACAAUGGGCGAAAGCCUGAUCCAGCAAUGCCGCGUGAGUGAUGAAGGCCUUAGGGUUGUAAAGCUCUUUUACCCGGGAUGAUAAUGACAGUACCGGGAGAAUAAGCCCCGGCUAACUCCGU